AGACCCGAAACCCGGUGAUCUAGCCAUGGGCAGGUUGAAGGUUGGGUAACACUAACUGGAGGACCGAACCGACUAAUGUUGAAAAAUUAGCGGAUGACCUGUGGCUGGGGGUGAAAGGCCAAUCAAACCGGGAGAUAGCUGGUUCUCCCCGAAAGCUAUUUAGGUAGCGCCUCGUGAAUUCAUCUCCGGGGGUAGAGCACUGUUUCGGCUAGGGGGCCAUCCCGGCUUACCAACCCGAUGCAAACUGCGAAUACCGGAGAAUGUUAUCACGGGAGACACACGGCGGGUGCUAACGUCCGUCGUGAAGAGGGAAACAACCCAGACCGCCAGCUAAGGUCCCAAAGUCAUGGUUAAGUGGGAAACGAUGUGGGAAGGCCCAGACAGCCAGGAUGUUGGCUUAGAAGCAGCCAUCAUUUAAAGAAAGCGUAAUAGCUCACUGGUCGAGUCGGCCUGCGCGGAAGAUGUAACGGGGCUAAACCAUGCACCGAAGCUGCGGCAGCGACACUCAGGUGUUGUUGGGUAGGGGAGCGUUCUGUAAGCCUGUGAAGGUGUGUCGUGAGGCAUGCUGGAGGUAUCAGAAGUGCGAAUGCUGACAUAAGUAACGAUAAAGCGGGUGAAAAGCCCGCUCGCCGGAAGACCAAGGGUUC
RNAcentral lists this ribosomal RNA (647 nucleotides) under Salmonella enterica subsp. enterica serovar Infantis. RNAcentral describes it as "partial 23S ribosomal RNA". It matches the Rfam family "Bacterial large subunit ribosomal RNA", at positions 711 to 1354 of the family's 2925-position model. Lineage: Bacteria; Pseudomonadati; Pseudomonadota; Gammaproteobacteria; Enterobacterales; Enterobacteriaceae. The record is from RNAcentral. RNAcentral also lists the same sequence under 1 other name.